RNAcentral lists this microRNA precursor (96 nucleotides) under Myotis lucifugus (little brown bat). RNAcentral's name for it is "miRNA (ENSMLUG00000022886.1)". Lineage: Eukaryota; Metazoa; Chordata; Mammalia; Chiroptera; Vespertilionidae. The record is from RNAcentral.
UAUUUGCUCUCCCUCACUCCUUUGUAUGUAUGUGCAUGUGUGUAUGAUUUAUAUACAUGCACACACCACACACAGAUAUGUAGAUGUACAUAUAUA